CCUACGGGUGGCAGCAGUGGGGAAUAUUGGGCAAUGGAGGAAACUCUGACCCAGCAACGCCGCGUGAAGGAAGAAGGCUUUCGGGUUGUAAACUUCUUUUAAGAGGGAAGAGCAGAAGACGGUACCUCUUGAAUAAGCCACGGCUAACUACGUGCCAGCAGCCGCGGUAAUACGUAGGUGGCAAGCGUUGUCCGGAUUUACUGGGUGUAAAGGGCGUGCAGCCGGGCUGACAAGUCAGAUGUGAAAUCCCGUGGCUCAACCACGGAACUGCAUUUGAAACUGUCGGUCUUGAGUAUCGGAGAGGCAGGCGGAAUUCCUAGUGUAGCGGUUAAAUGCGUAGAUAUUAGGAGGAACCCCAGUGGCGAAGGCGGCCUGCUGGACGACAACUGACGGUGAGGCGCGAAAGCGUGGGGAGCAAACAGGAUUAGAUACCCUUGUAGUC
Molecule: ribosomal RNA, 442 nt
Filed under: uncultured bacterium
Lineage: Bacteria
Description: partial 16S ribosomal RNA
Rfam family: Bacterial small subunit ribosomal RNA
Source: RNAcentral